GUACGGGUGGUUUUGGCUUCCACCCAUUUAGAGACAUAAUCAACUGCAAGUAAAAUGUAUAGGAAACCAAAAGAUGAGAGAAAAGUACUCAUAAAAUCUAUCCCCCAAACAUAAAAAAUUUCAACAAAUAACAUGGGGGCUUGAAGCAUUUGAUCCUUACGAAAAAUAUUUUUCACCCUUUGACACCUAUCACAGAAUUUGCAAAAUAAGUACGAAUCUUUAAAAAGGGUGGGCUAGUAAAAAUCACUCUCUAACACUUUGCGAGCUAUUCGCUUGAGUCCAAAAUGCCCUCCACAAGCAAACGAAUGACAGAAAUUUAAAAUAGAGUGAAAUUCACCUGUACUUACACACUUUCUUAGCACUUGAUCCGAACAUUGUCUCCAAAGGUAGGGGUCGUCCCAAAUGUAGUAUUUGGCAUCACUCUUCAAUUUAUCUCUCCUAACAUUUGGCCACCCUGCAGGCAAUUGAUUAGUCACUAAAAAAUUUACUAUAUCGGCGUACCAGGGUGUAGACGAAUCAACGGCAAGAAGUUGCUCCUCUGGGAAUGUCUCCCUCAAUGGUUGUUCUUCCUUAUGUGUCAGCAAACGGCUCAAAUGAUUGGCAACCAAAUUCUCUACCCCACUUUUAUCUUUUAUCUCCAAGUUGAACUCUUGCAGGAGUAGGAUCCAUCUGAUAAGUCUCGAUUUUGCAUCCUUCUUUGUCAUCAAAUAUCUCAAGACUGCAUGAUCAGAGAAAAUUGUUACUUUUGCACCUAACAAAUAAGGUCUAAAUUUUUCUAAUGCAAAAACCACAGUUAGUAAUUCUUUCUCUGUUGUAGAAUAGUUGAGUUGACCUCCAUUCAACGCAUUUGAUGCAUAAUAGACUGCAUGAGCCGCCCUGCCAAUUCUUUGCCCCAACACAGCUCCCACUGCGUAGUCACUCGCGUCACACAUAAUUUCAAAUGGGAGGCUCCAGUCUGGAGGUUGAAUGACGGGCGGUGAUGUUAACGACUCCUUCAAUUUGUCAAAUGCCAUCUUGCACUCCUCGGUGAAGUCAAAUGUUACAUCCUUCUACAACAGUUUGAACAGGGGCACUCUAAUUUUGGAGAAAUCUUUGAUGAAUCUCCUGUAGAACCCUGCAUGACCAAAAAAGGAGCGUACUUUUCGUACACUUACGGGGUAAGGUAAAGCAGAAAUAAUAUCGACUUUUGCUUCAUCUAUUUCUAUUCUCCUAGUCGACACUACAUGCCCUAAGACAAUACCAUACUCCACCAUAAAAUGAUAUUUUUUUCAAUUAAGUACCAAAUUUGUUUCUAUGCAUCUUUUUAAAAUCAAAUCUAAGUUAUCAAGGCAUUCAUCAAAACUAUCCCCAUACACACUAAAAUCAUCCAUAAAUACCUCAGUAAUCUUUUCUACAUACUCAUAAAAUAUACUUACCAUAUACCUCUGAAAAGUCGCCGGAGCAUUGCAAAGGUCGAAAGGCAUCCUCCGAUAGGCAAACGCGCCAAAUGGGCAGGUGAAUGUAGUUUUCUCCUGGUCCUUCGGUACUAUCGCGAUCUGGAAAUAAUCCGAAAAAUCAUCAAAAAACAGUAAUAGACACGACCAGCUAACAUUUCUAUCAUCUGAUCAAUAAAUGGGAGAGGAAAGUGGUCCUUCUUUGUCACAGCAUUCAGACUCCGGUAAUCAAUGCACUGACGCCAUCCUGUGGGUUUCCUCACUGGGACUAUCUCGCCCUCCUGGUUCUCUUUUACGGUUACUUCUGCCUUUUUCGGGACUAUUUGGACUGGGCUCACCUACGGACUGUCUGAGAUGGCGAAAAUGAUCCCCACUUCCAAGAGUUUAAAUAUUUCCUUCUUUAUCACUUCCAUCAUUAGUGGGUUCAAUCUCCGUUGCGCAUGUCUUACCUAUUUUCCAUCAUCUUCAAGCUGGAUCUGAUGCAUGCAUAAGGAGGGCUAACUCCCUUGAUAUCUGUUAUGUUCCACCCAAUCGCCUCCUUAUGAUUUCGAAGAAGACGAAUCAGGUUGUCUUCUUGUCUUGGUGACAGAUGUGCAGAUAUGAUGACCGGCAGUGUCUCUUUGUCCCCGAGAAAAGCAUACUUCAAAUGCUUUGGGAGAGGCUUGAGCUCCAAUUCAGGUGCGUGCACAAUAGAAUGCAACAAUUUCGCCAGAAUUUCUGGUACAAAAAGAGAAGUAAGCUCAUAUCUUGGAGAAAUUGGUGGAAGCGAAUGCAGUGCUUCAACUGCACGAUAUAACUCAUCACUUAAUCCUGCAUCAGGAGUUGCUCCCAACUCGAGAUACUUGGCUAAUGCCACUGCCAGUGCAUCGUCCCCAUCCAAUUCAAACGUUUUCUGCACAAGGGGCUCAAUAACACUUAAAACAAAAAUGGAGUUAGCCUCAUCCAGGUACUUCAUUGCAUCAAAAAUAUUAAAAUUUACAAUUUCUCCAUCAAACUCCAUUGAUAAGGUACCCUCAUUUACAUCUAUUUUCGUCCUAGUAGUGCUUAAAAUGGCCUACCUAACAAAAUAGGUGACAGAUGUAGUGCCCUUUCAUCCCCCAUGUCUAGGACAUAGAAAUCUGCAGGAAAAACUAACUCAUUGACCUGUACCAAAAUAUUUUCAACUAACCCUUCUGGAUAAGCAUUGGUACGGUCUGCAAGUUGGAUUAUAAUGCCUGUGCCUUUUAGUGGGCCAAGAUUAAGAGAAGCAUAAAUUGUUUUAGGCAUAACAUUAAUUGAUACCCUCAAAUCCAACAUCGUUUUCCUAAUUGGGGUACCUCCUAUCUUGCAGGGAAUGGUGAAUAUACCUAGGUCUCCACAUUUUGGUAGGAGUUUCCUUUGAAGCAUAGCUGAUACAUUUUCUCCCACCGCCACUCUUUCGUCACCCUUCAACUUCCUCUUGUGGGUGCACAAAUCCUUCAAAAACUUGGCAUACUUAGAUAUCUGCUUGAUUGCAUCCAGUAAGGGAAUGUUAAUCCCCAUUUUUUGGAACACAUCCAAAAGCUCUUUUUUCUUCUCUACUUUCUUUGUCUUCUCUAACCUGCAAGGAAAGGGGGGGUAAGUUAGAUUUAAUAGUGGGUGGAGAAGUGAAGGUUACCUUAUGAUCCUUGCGAAUACGUCAUUCCUCUUCAAUUUUCUUUUCUAUCUCCUUCUCACUUUUGCUUUUUGAAUUUUCCACUUUAGCCCCUUCCAGUUCCUUGCCACUCCUUCAGUGUCAUGACACUUACAUUUUUGGGAUUUAUCUCGGGUUGAGAUGGUAAUUUUUCAUGGACGUGGGACUGCAGGCGAUUGAUGGCAGUUCCCAAUUGGCUUAUUCGAGUAUCCAUAUCUUUCAUGUCUGCUCUGGUGUCCUGCUGGAACUGAGUGGUACUCAUGGUUAAGGCUCUAGUUUCUUGCUGGAGUUGGGCCAUAUUCGUGGUCAAUGACCUGGUCUCCUGCUGGAGCUGAGUAGUAGUCAUGGCCAGACUCUUGACAAUAUCCUCCAGAGAGCUACCUGAAUUGGCGGACGAAGGUUGAGGCUUUUGCUGCCAUGGUUGCUGAAACCCUGGUGGACGAUUUGAAAGUGAAUUUGGUUGCCUGUUCCCAUAACUAAGGUUGGGUGGUCCCUCCAACUCGGAUUGUAUGUAUUGGAGUACGAGUUAUACUGCCUGCGUGGCGCGAGCACGCUUCCUACCAUGUUUACCUGUUUCGCCCCGUUCUCUUGUAAAAAGGGGCACGUGUCCGUGCAGUGGUCCAUACUAGUGCAGAUUUCACACACCUUCACUCGUGGUGUGUUCCCCAUGGCUAAUUGCCUAACAGCGGACGUCAACUCUGACAAUUGUUGCUGAAUGGAUGACGUCUCUAUCUCAUUGACCCUACGAGUGGGGUUAAUCUCACGGUAGUCAAACUACUGAGAGUUCUCUGCCAUGACUUCAAUAAGCUCCCACGCCUCCUUCGAUGCCUUGUUCGUCAAGGUUCCUUCACUCGCAGCAUCAAUGAUACUCCUGUCAGUUGACUGGAGCCCUUCAUAGAAGUACUGGAUCAAUAGUUGCUCACUAAUUUGAUGUUGCAGACAUCUAGUGCAUAACUUGUUAAACCUUUCCCAAUAGUCGUAUAAGGACUCCCCGGAGUACUGCUUGAAGCUGCAUAUUUCCUUUCUCAAACUCGCAACCCGGGAUACGGGGAAGAAUUUUUCUAGAAAUUUCUUUUUCAAUUGUGCCCACGUGGUGAUACUACCAGCAGGGAGAUGGUAUAGCCAAUCCUUCGCUGCAUCCUUGAGAGAAAAGGGGAAAGUUCUAAGUCUUAUUUGCUCCUCAGUGACCCCAAGAGGUUUCAUAUUAGAGCAAACUAUCUCGAACUCCUUGACAUGUUUGUGGGGUUUUUCACCAGAAAGACCAUGGAACGAAUGUAGGAGGUGAAUCAACCCCGACUUCAGCUCGAAAGCGGUAUUCUCAGCCAAAGUGGGGAAUGUGAUGCACAAGGGCUGGUGAGUCAACUCCGGGGCAGCCAACUUCCUUAGUGAUUGGGUGUUGGCCAUGCUAAAUUCGUCUUCUGCUGGCUCGUUUGCAGUAGAUAAGUGCCCUUCUUUUCGUCUCUUGAUCUCUUGCCUUCGCCCACGCGCUGCCUUCUUAACCUCAGGAUCGUAUACCAAUUCACCUGUGCGAGAAGAAUGGGGCAUAAACUAGCAAAAAUAUCAAGAAGAAAAAGAAAAAAAACUGAACUCAAAAAGAAAUAAAUAUUUCAAAUGACAGUCCCCGACAACGGCGCCAAAAAUUGACAGGUGCCGAACCUGUGCAAUAAUAAUAAAUAAAAUCUAAGUACCACCUAAAGCAGUCAAUAAUCAAUUCUAGUACUGAAGCAGGGACUCUAGGUGUGCAAUGGGUUACUUGAUUCACCCUGUUCCUGAAGAGUUUGCUUAAUCCAAUAUACAUGAAUUAAUUAUUUAACUGAACUCACAAACAAAUAGACAGUGGUAAGCAUGGUCGUCUCCUCAGGGACUGGAGAAAAAUUUAUUUCUUACCAAGUCAAGAUUAAUGGGAGGUUUUGAGAUUAAAUGCUAAUUAAACAAAUUAAAUGCAGAAAAUAAUUAAAUAAAAGAAAUAAUUAAGAGAAACUCUAGCCAAGGGUAUACUUCAGAAAUGGUUCGUACACUGAUCAUCGAUUCACAGAUAAUUCCAACAUUUAGUAAUAGAUUAGUUAUAGUUGUCAUGCACGCGAUAAACAACCAACCCUUCCUUAAUUUCUCGAUAGCCAAGGUACGACCGUUAGCUAUUUUUUUAACUCAUAAACAACCCUAGAUACGACCGUAGAAUUAAAUUUUUAGAUUGCAUUAAUAAUUAGAAAGGUCCAAUCCUAACCAACAAACACGCUACGAGAGUUCGUUUAAGUUAGAUCAUAUGCUCCCCUGACAUAAAUCUGAUUACGCCAGUUGCUACUAAGAUAGAGAUAACGAACAAUUACGGAUUCAAUUACCCCUAUUUAGCAAAAAUAGCCUAUAUGGAUAAUUAAUUAUUGCGCACUAAUCAAUCAUACACAAGUUCAUAGCAAUUAAAAGUAAGGAACAUAUAAAUAUCAAUAAAUGAAGAAAAUAAUUAAAAGCAGCUUAUAUCUCACAGUAGUUGUUGAACCAAUUCGUCAAUUGCCCCCUUGAUUAGAAUUAGGGAUUUAGUUCCCCAUAAUUAAUGUACAGGCCAUGCGGACAAGGUUGGAAGAAGCCAUCGAUUCCUUAAUCAAAGCGAACGAAAGAAAUUGCCCCUCGUUAAUUCCGGUCAACCGAAGAAAGAAAGGGGACAAUCGAUUAUGGUGGUUUUCAAUUGUUCUCCUAAGCUAACCGUAUAGAGAGUGCACACUUUCAAUUUUCUUCAGUCAAGGCCAGGGUGAAAAGCAAUGUCAAAAGUCCACAGUUGCAGCUCCUCUUAGCUUUCUUUCUUUCCUCACAAGACAUACGAGAGAUUGGGUUUCAAUCAAUUGAUUUCUCCAAAUCAAUUCACACAAGAUAGAAAAGCCAGAAUACAAAGUCAACAAUUGCGGCCUUCUUGUCUCUUUUUUUCCCCGUUACAAAGCCACGGCCAGCCCCCUUUUUUUAAGAACAAAGGGAACGAAAAAGGAAGAAAACCUAAACCAGACAAGAGGUAAAAAAAUUGUUUUCAGCCAGCCCGCUCUCUGGAGUCUAAUACCUUCCCCUAUCCGACCUUCCAGGAGGGGCUUUUUUUUUUCUCCUCUCGAGAAGUGGUCUUUUACAAAAUUAAAACGAGACUCUCUAAAAUAAAAUAAAAUAAAGUCUAUUACAAUCAAAUUUUCUCAGCUUCUCAAGGGGGCCCCACGUGCGACAAAUCUUCGAAAUUUUGACUUUAAGUACUUUUUAGCAUCAAUUCCUGUAAUUAGUAUCAAAACAAAAUAUCAGUAGAAUCCACCCAAUUAAUGAAAAUAUUUAGUCAGAUAAACAUGCAUUAAUGCCCAAAAUACCCCGCUAAAACGCACCCUAUCAUUAUUGCGGGAAAACUCAGCGUCAACGUUGGUGGACCGACAAGAAACAAUGGGCACACUCGAUGUCAAUUUCGGUGAUUUUUUUUUUGGUUUUAUUGGAAAAAUAAACGUUUAUGUGGUUUUAGCUCAAGUUAUCACUAUGGCUCACGACAUCCCCGAUCAGUUACUGAACAUCUAUAUAUUGUACAUUGUUCAUUGUAAAAUAUGUAAUCGAAAAUAAUUGCCUUGUUUGGCAGACAAGUUUUUCUGCUACAAGUUUUUUAAAAACUUUAAUUAUAGUAACUUCAAAAAAAUUUUCAAAAUUUUUAAAUUAUACACUUCAAAAUAUUCAAAAAAAAACACACUUCCAAAAUUUUUUAAAAAACUUUUACAGUAAAUUAUAGUAAAGUUUUAGACAAACACCUAAAAAACUUAUUUGCCAAACAGGGUCUAAGAGUGGUGCAAAUUAGGAAGGAUUUCCGCAACGAAUGUUGUCUGUAUUCGUUAACAUACCGAUAUUUCACUCAAUCUAUCAUAUAUAUAUAUACACACACCAAUAAUAAUUAUUUUUUCUUACAUUUAUAAAUUUUUUAAAAUUAAUCUCCUUAUAUAUAUUAAUUAAUUUUAUAUUUUUAAAAUUUUAACACUUGAAAUAUAUUUUAAUGCAUGCCCACAAGACACUCGCUAAACAAAUCGAAUUAGAAAAUCACGGCCAAGUGAGUCAGGCAGGCAAAUGAUCUCAUUCGUCUAAGUGUGUUGCUAUUUGAUCACAUAUAGGUCCCAUUUGGCAAGUGAGUUUUUUGGAUGUUUAUCUAAAAUUGUAUUGUAAUUUACUGUAGAAGUUGUAGAAAAAAUUUUUGAAGUGUAUAAACAUAUGGAUAUUUCGAAGUAUAUGGUUUAAAAAAUUUGAGAAGUUUUUUAAAAUUAUUAUAGUUAAAAUUAUUUAAAAACUUGUAGCAGAUAAACUUGAUAAAAAACUUGCUUAAUAUCUUCAUAUAACUGUGAUUUUAGUGCAUAAUCUACGAAAAUUUUCCUUUCCUAUUCUAUCUUUUGUCCCUGCUGACCUCGGGUCCUGACUGCCAUUGUUCAACCUUCACUUUAUUCAAUUAGUACCCUCAAAAUUAACUUCCAAGUUCCAGCAGGUGGAAAAAUUUCUAAGAUGGAAUUUAGGUCCCCCACAUUCAAAGGUUUAUUACUACUACACACCCAUAAAUGUCAUGCAAUAAUUUCACUCUGCUUCUAUAGGCCCACCAAGUUCAUUGAAUUAUUGUACUACUACCCAGCCAGGAAAGUCAUGAUCAAUUUCACUCUAGUUUCUCCUCUAAGUAGUCCCAUCUCCCUUGCUAAAAAUCUUGCACUUGCAAAAUAACUGGCCAAACAGUCCAAUGCAAACUACAUCUGAUUAAUUGUAACUCUCUAACUCAAGCAGUAUGAACUAAUCAACUCUGUACUAAUAUGAAUGGAGAAACUUUUUCUUGUUGCGGUCAAUUUUAAACAGCAUAUAUAACUUUGCAAUUAAGGCUAAAGAUUAGACUGAAAAAAGAAAUAGUGGGCAUACUCAGUGUCUUGUCCAUUAAAUUUUUUUUGGUAAAAUAAAUAUUUAAAUGGUUUUAACGCUAAUAACCACCACAAGUCAAGACACGUCCCAAAAUCAUACAUUUAGGGAUGGCAAUGGGACAGGUUUGAGGUGGAGGAAUCCUCACUCAUCCCCCAUCCCGACUAACCUCGUUACCCUCGCAGGUGCACCUGUCCUGCCCCAAUGCCAUUUUUAGUUUUUAUUUAGUCUUAUUUUUUCUCUUUAUAUAUAUAUAUAUAUAUAUAUAUAAUGCUAGUAAUAAUUUUAUUGAUCAUUCUUUUUAAUUUUUAGCAAAAAAUCCAGCAAUCGCCGUGAAAAGUAUGGAUGUCAGGUUCUUUAAAGAAGCAUCGAUGUCCAUGAUGUUGAAUUAGUGCUUAUUGAGUUAGUUGUUGAAAAGGAACACAGCGAAAUGACUCAUUCUCUGAAAGCUUUCAAUGGUUGAAUGUUAUCCAUCAACUUCUGUUUCAGAACUCAGAACAAUGUGAUUCAAAUUAGAUUAGGCAAGCAUUUGAGGAUGAAAUCCAUAAGUUUGUUAGAGUUUUAGUUAACUGCAUUUAAUUUGAUCCGAGAAAAGGUCAUCCAUGCUAAAAAGUGUACAAAAUGUUGAGCUAAAGAUGUGUCUUCGCAAAUGAUUCAGGACUGGUGGGAAUUUGAAUAUGGCUUUCCCAGCAUGGAUGAUUUUUCCUUUUGUUGAUCUUCAGAACAGUGUUUCCAUAUCCACUUAUUGGGAUACUUAUAACGUUUAGAUAUAAGAAUACCAUUUAUAAUACUGAUAACGAGACAUAAUGGAAGCCCAAUACUCCCCACGAACUACGGGCGCAUGCACGAAUUGAUCUUUUAACUUGUCUGCAUAAUAACUAGUGAACGUAGAUGGGUUAAGUGCGCACAAUUCCGUUAUGUUUUGCAGGUAGUGGCAUUUGAACACAGAAAAUCAACAUAUUUUAGGGUUUGUUUGCUUGGAUGUAAAAUCUUUUCAUGGGAAAAAUAUUUCAUUGAAAAUCAUUUUCGGUUGAACAUUUUUUUUUUUUAUAAUUAUUUUCAGAUCUUUGAUUCCCUUCCUGAAAAUUUUGGCUUCAUAUAUUACGCACUUUUCUCUUCAACUUGUACCGAUCUUCCACUCUAUUUUACCACUGCUUCCCACGUACCCAACUCCCAUUACACAACUAGUAUUUUGACCAGUGCUAAGCACGAAUUUAUAUUUAAUACAAUAAUAAUACUAAUAAUAAUAAAUAAAUUAUUUUUUAUUAAUUACACGAAAAAAAAGUUAAGAAAUCAAAAGAGUGCUACUUUUGUAUCUAAUUUUUAUUGUAUUUAUGUACCUUGUCUAAAACUUUAAAGUAUAUUAAAAAAUAUGAACAAAGAUCACAAAAAUACCUAAAGAAAUACUAAAAGUGCAUCAAACACAACAUUAUUAACCCCCCCCCCCCUCCAUGUGUCUUCCUCUUUGUGCCACUUUCUCUUAACAUUCCACUACUCUUCAUUACCCUCUUUCUUACCUUCUUAAUUCAAACUUCCCACAUUCCUCCAACUUUUUUCCCUCCCACAAACUCUACCUUCCCUUCACCCUACUCUGCUUUUUUCAAAUUGUGCAAUCUCUUACUAAUUUCGUAAUCUAUUUCCUGCCAUCCUAUUGUUCUUUCCACCCAUUUAUAGUUAUAAAUAGUGACCAAUUUUGCAACUUGUUCUUGAACAAAUGAGUUUGGGUAUGCCAUCUACUUAGGUUCAAAUGGAUAACCUAAUGACACCCAUUAAUUAGUGACUAUUAAAUGGAAGGAAUGGCAUCACUUAUUUAGAGCUAAUUAAAUUAGAUGUAGAUUCAAAUUCAAUCGUUAGUAAGUAAAUUUAAAUCACUACCAAUUCAAUAAUUAUACUCUACUUUUUGCAAAGGCAUAUUUAAUGUUCUUUUCCUAUUCUUUAAUUUUCAUUAUUUUAAUUUUUGUUAAAUUUCAUCCUACUUCCUCUCCCUUCCAUCAAAGUUUUAAUGAACUCCUUGAGUGUUAAUUGAUUUUAACAUUCACACCUAAAUUAUUUUUAGAUUCUUAUAGAGUGAUAAAAUUUGAAACUCCUUAUGAUCACCACUAUUGAUUCUUCCAUGUAAUUUGAGAAUUUUGGCAAAGUAAAAAAUGAAAAAGUUCCUGAGCCAUAUUUGAGAAAUUUCAACUUACUAGGUUAAUAAGUGUAAAUGCUGCUCUUACGAGGGAAUCAAGAAUGAUUGAACAAAAACAUUUCAACUUAAGUGUGUUUCGAUAGCUAUUAUUUGGCUUCAAAUUAUUUGUUUGCAUCACAAACAUAAUUUUCAAAAUACCUUUUUAUCUUUCCAAUCAAUUUUUUAUCUCGCAUACAUUACAUCACAAAAAGUGCUAUAGUAAUUAUUCCAAAUAAUAUUUCAAAUAAUCCCCUAUCCAAUAAGAAAAAAAUCAUAUAUUCAAUAAUUUUCAGCGCGAUCAUAUGGUUGUAACUACAAAUAACCUACCAUGAAAAUACCUAUUUUUAGCUUCAUUUCAUCAUGUGAAUUUCUCGUGAUUUCAUUUUAGCAUCCUUAUUUUUUAAUUAAAACAAUCUUGUGAAAAAGCUUCCUGUAUAAGCAAAAACAAAAGAAGAAUACACAAUGGCAAAUUUUAGUUCAUAGUUAGCUUCCAUGUUCGUGAAAAAUUUUCUAGGAUGGAUUCUAAAUUGUGUCCCCCAUGUUCAAAGUUUAUUACUACACAACCAAAAAAGUCAUGCAGUUAUUUCACUCUACUUUCUUAUGCCAUUGCUUGGAAAAAUGUAAUCUAUAGGUCCACCACAUUCAAUAAUUGUACUACUACACUGCUAGGAAACUCACAAGCAAUUUCGCAAGUCUACUUUCUUAUCAAUAGCAGUACCACUACUUUGUCUUCGUUAAUAGACCAUCUCCAUUGCCAAAAAACCUUGCAUACACAAAUGUUCAAUUUCAAACUCUCCAUAAAACAAAUAAAAAAGAAAAAAGUCAUUUACUUUUGGGAAUGGAAAAAAAUUAAAAAUGUUCCUGCAUCAUAUUCGAGAAAUUUCUACCGAUAAAUAGGUGUAAAUGCGGCUCUUAGAGGGAAUCAUAGAAUGAUUGAACAAAAACACAAUGGAAGUUAUUUCACUCCCAAAUAAGGUAUUUCACAUCUUCAACAAUUUUCAAUGGGAUCAUAUGGUUGUAACUACAAAUAGCCUACUAUAAAAAUGAUAUUGAAGAUGGCAUUCAAAAACUUUGACCCCGAUUGUGAUAUUUCGCAGAAAAAUUUUUAUGUUUUUCACGAACACAUUUUUCAAUUAUUUUUUUACCUCGCAUACGUCAAACUGUUACAAUAUACUUUUUUUUUUUUUUUGCAGAAACUCUUAAAAUAGCAAUCCAAACGGGCUAGAUUUUACUACUUGUGCUGACUCAUCUUGACAAUUAUUGGGUCAUAAACAAUUGUAAUCUAGUGCCAAAAUUUCAAUCUUCUCAACCAUUUCAAGAUAGCAAGAAAAUGCCCCGAAUUCUAUAUAUAUUACUUGUAUGAUUUUUGAGUAUGGGUUAAUUUAACAUGUCCUGGAAGUUAUUUUAACAUCUCCAUCUUUAACUUCAUUUCAUCUUGCGGGUUUCUCAUAAUUUUAUUUUAGUGUCUUUAUAUUCAACUUAAAAUAAUCUUGUGAAAAAAAGCUACAGUACAAGCAAAAACAAAAGAAGCAUGGUAAUUAUCAAACCUUCUCUUUUUCAAUUGGUACAUAUAAAGUUAACUUGCAAGUUCCAACCGGUAAGAUGAAAUCUAAUUUAGGUCCCCCAUAUUCAGAAGUUAGGUCAUGCAAUAAUUUGAGCCUGCCUCUAUAGGUCCAGCACGUUGAGUAAUUGUUCUACUAUCCAACCAGGAAAGUCACGGCCAAUUUCACCCCACUUUCUUAUCAAUUACGGUACUGCUCCUACUUUCUCCUCUAUAUGAUACUCCAUCUUCCUAGCUAAAAGCCUUGCACAUACUGCAUUGUUUUAAUUUUGAUUCAAAUUAUCAUCUUCCUCGCCCGUGUUCUCUUUUUCACCAAACUUGGAUUUGACAGGGUAGGUUCACGAUAAACAGGCACUUUUCCCAUAUUCAUCAGAUCAGCUAUUGCCAGAGAUUUUAUUUUCUCUCAAGUAAGUGCUGAGAUUUGUUCACUUUUCUUGAAGUUCAAGGCUUUUUUUUUUUUUUUUUUUUUUAUAAACAUAGCCUCACCAUAUAAGGGAAUAUCUGCAGAUUCAACGGAUCAACCGUUGCCGGAGUGUUCAUUCUCUCCAAAGUGAGUGCUGAAUUUUUUUUUCUUUUUUUUUCAUACACAUUUUUUGGUUGAAAUAUAAAUGGCUUCCAUGUGUUUAUGACAUUCAUUCUACUAGCAUACUUUCAUAUGUUGGCGACUAGCUUCCAAGGCUAGAAUUUUUGCUUCCUGCUAUUCUUGAAACUAACAAGAAGGGUAAAACACUCAAAAUUGUACAGUGCAAAUGUGCAAUAUGCAUCCCAUGUUCAAAACUCUCUAUUACUAGACAACCCUGAAAGGUCAUGCAGUUAUUUUUUCAUUCUACUUUAUUAUGCCAUUGCUUGGAAAAAUUCUAAUCUAUAGGUCCACCACAUUCAAUAAUUGUACUGCUACAAGGCUAGGAAACUCAUGACCAAUUUAACAGAUCUACUUUCUUUUCAACAACAAUACUACUCCUUUCUCCUCAAUAAUAGAUCGUCUCCAUUGCCAAAAAGCCUUGCAUAUACGAACAGUUUCUACAUUUUUUCUUAAACUUUACUUUUGAGUAAUUAAGUAGCCUCACGAUAUACUAGCAAUUUUCCCAAACUCAACAGAUCAGCUACUCCCAGUGGUUUCUUUCUUUCUUUUAUUUUACUCUCAAGUAAGUGCUUAAUUUUUUUUUCCCUCAAACUUAAAGGAAUUUUUAUUUUUCUAUUUUUUUUUUUUGACGUAGCCUCGCCAGUAUAAACGGAAUUUCUGCAAAUCCAACAGAUCAGCUUUUGCCAGAGUGUUCAUUCUCUCCAAAGUAAGUGCUGAAUUUCUUUUCUUUUUAUUAUUAUUAUUAUUAUACACAUUUUUGGUUGAAAUAUAUAUAUCUGGCUUCCAUGUGUUUUUGACAUUUAUUCUUCUGCUACUAUGUACUUUUAUACGUUGCCGAGUAGCUUCCAGGGCUGGGAAUUAGCUUCCUGUUAUUCUUGGUAGUAUAUCAUACUAGUUUGGAUGCACGUGCUUUGCGCAUAACCCGCGUUGUGUGGUAAUUUUCUUAUAUUGCGUGGUUUUUUUUAUUAUUUUUUUAAUGCUAAGCAAAUUUUAGAAUGAAAGCUUUUCCUUUUUUCUCCGUUAUGGGCAUAUAGAUGAAUAAUCUAUCUUUUGGAAGGGAAUGAUUGGAGUAGGAAAUUCUAGGUUGACAUGCUUUCUAAUAAUAUUCAUGGAUAAGUUUUUAUGCAUAACAUUGUUAAACUUGCAUUUUUUUACAUGAAUUUUCUACUGUAGUUUUUAAAGAGUAAUUUGUGUAUGUAAGACAUUUUGUGUCAUUCUCAUACCUUAUCUUAGUGACGGCGCUUUUUGUCUUUCGAGAGUUUUCUUUCUGCAAUUAAUCAUGAAAAUUUGAUAGAGUCAUAAUUCAUGACAUUUUCUUAGAUCAGAAACUUGAAAUGAGAAACCAAAAAAGAAAAAUUAACAGUCCUUGAAAAGAAAAUGAGAAGUGAAAUAGGGACACUAACUAUCCUAAAGUUUAGGAUAAUGAUACAAUGAUAAUGUUAGAAUACUUCAGCUAUACUAUCUUUUUCGUAUCGAUUGACCCACUAAACUUUUAAAGCUAAUUAAUUGAACCAUUCCGUGUAGUUAGUGGUUAAAAAAAAUGAAACUUUCAGAAUUAGUGGGGAACUUUUGUCACUUUGUUAAUGAAAAAUAGUAUGGCGGAUUAAAUGGGAGUUUAGUAAAAUUAAGUGAAUCUUGAUACAAUUUGUUGGAAAACUUUUUGGAAACUAAAGAAGAAUGGAAAAAAAGGAAUGUCUUAGAAAAUGUUUAACACAACUAAUUCUCACAUUUUCAAAUCUUUUGAGCUAGUAUUAGAAAUACUUUAGUUAGGUGACCAUAAGAUCUGACAUUCGACUAUCAAAUUCUUAAUUUUUUUCUUUCCCAUUGUAAGGCUGAAGUCUCCCAUUCAAAGGGAAAAAAACAGUACUCGUAACUUUUAAGCUUUCUUUAGUUGACAUGAUGUAUCGUUAUAAAAUAGUAACCCAAAAUUUCAGUAGCUAAAAAUAGCCAUGCAAUCACACACACAAGGCAUGUAAAAAAUCUUCAGUUCUUCGUUUAUUUAUUUACUUUUGCAAGAUGGCGCAGUAGCUAUUCCUUCAUGCGGUUGAAGUGCCUACAAUCAAUUGGAAGUUGCUGAAAAGUGAUAAAAUCUUCCUAAUAUAAUUUCCAUGAUUUUGCAUUUUAGCUUCAGUCGUAGACUAGGCAUCUUCUUUCAAAAUCAAGUCAUCGUUUGGCUUUUUCUUUUUAAGAUUCCAUCUUUUGCUUUGGUUUGCUCUCUCUUUUUUAAAGAUUAUGACCCCAAAGAGGAACGGGUCAUCAAAAAGGAACCAAAGUGAAGUAGGACCUUGCUAGGAAGUCAUGGUUUUGCUCUGUUGAUAAAAAAUUUGCUAUUUUAUAAAAGGAUCAUAAUUGUAUAAUUACCCUUGUAAAUUUGAAAAUCAAAGACACAAUAAUGUAAAGUCAAAUUUUUACUAUCUCCCUUCUCUGCACGCUUUUCAACCACAAACUAUUAGGACCAGGAUUCAUAAUGUUUCUGUCUUACCUUGAAACAUUCAAAAUUUUAAAAAUCUGCAUGAACAUCUAUCACAACUAAAAGAGGAUGGUACUGGUUAGUCAAAAAAGUAAAAAUCAAAUCGCAAGUAACUUAUCAGUUAUGACUAUACCUGGCAAUUGGGCGGGUUGGACGGAUUUUGGACGAGUUGAUAUUGGGUUUUUACUUAAAUGGAUUAUACCCAACCCGCCCAACUUUAAAUCGGGUUAGUUUUGGGUUGGGUCAUAUUGGGUCAUCUCAAACCCAAGACCCAAAUAUGACCCAAUAUAUUAAUUAAUAGAUUUUGAUACAUAAAUUCUCUCAAAUAUAUUUUUGCAUACAAAAAUUUUUUUUCACACACUAAAACAAUUUUGGUCCAAGUUGAAUAUAGCAUGAAAAAAUGUUAUACCAAUAUUAAACAAGAUCCAAUCAUGCCUUAAUUAAAUUGAAACUUGAUAAGAGAGAUACAAUUCUCAACCAAUUAGUUCAAAUAUCACUAUCCAAUUCAUUUGAGAUUUGUGAAUUGUGACUUUUGGGUUCCUUUUAUUCAUUAUUAAAUAACCUCACUUUGCACUUUUUACACAAUUAUUGUGGUUGAAUAUCAAUCUUGUCUUGUGAUAAACCUUCAUGUCAAGGGCCAAAAAAGGGGAAAAAAAAGACGAAGAAGAAAGAAAAUUGGACCCAUGAAUGAUCUAAUUGACAAAUUUUAAUUAAUAAUUGAGCAACUUAUGAAAGCAAUUAAAAAUUUGCUUGCAUAUUUUGCUAGAUUUUUUAGGAACUAGUAAAUGCUUAAAAACACGAGUUGCUAAUAGAAUCUCUCCGUCCAAAAGAUAACAAUGGAAAAAAAUAUGUAUAUGUACAUUAACAUGCAGUUGAACAGUAAUCUUCACAAUCCUAAAACCAAUUAGUAAAGGAACAAGAUGUGUAUGGACUUGCAAGUUUGCUAUCUUAAAGGGAAAAAAAAAAAAAAAAAAAAACAGCAAGCGCGAUGCAGUUGACAAGAAUGUGCCAAAAUGCUUAAAGUUAAGAAAACGGUGGUGGAUUGAAAAUUCCCGACGAGAGGCCUCCAUUGUUUUUUUAAGUUGGGUAAUGGGUACCCAACUUAAUUACCCAAACCGCCCAAAAUACAUGUGAGUUUUUAUUAUCCAACCUAAAAUUAACCCAACAUCCAAUUUACCCAACCCAGCCUCUUAAAUUAGUGGGUGGAUUGGGUGGAUUGUUGGAUUUUGGGUAUAAUUGCCACCUCUAGUUAUGACAUCCAAUUCUUUAGUUGGCCUGAUUUGAAAUUGUAAAUCAUCGUGGCACAUUAACAAAAAAUUACACAAAUUACAGUAGUUAAAACACACACACAAAAAGGCAUAUACUACACUUUUUCGUCCAUCAUUUAUUUACUUUUGCAAGAGGGUGCAAAAGUAAAUCAUACGAAAGGUCCUGAAGGGUGAAGACCCCACGGACAGCAAAGUCUUUCUAAUAGCUUCCACGAAUUUGCAUUUUAGCUUCAUUUGCAGACAGGGCACCUUCGUCUUUCAAAAUCAAGUCGUUGUCUGGCUUCUUCUUUUUAAUUUCCAUCAUUUUGCUUUAGGGUGUUCUUUCUUUCUUGACAAUUAAUACUUCAUUUCCCUACAGUUUCUUUCUUCUGAGGAACCACUAUCGUGGAUCAUAGGUGAAAGAAGCAACACAAUAUCACUAUAAGUAAAAGAGUACAAGAGAGAGAGAGCACAAAACCCUACAAAAUAAUUCCAAGGUCCAAAUGUAUCUAAAACUAAAAACACUUGAGAUCUUUUUUUUUUUUUUUUUUUUUUGGAAGCAUAACACUCGAGAUUUUAAAGAAGCACACAAAUGUCUUAUAAAAUCAAAAUUCCUAAAGUUUAGGAUAAUGUUAGAAUACUUCAGAAUUUUGCUAUACCCUCUUUUUCGUAUGGAUUGACCCACUAAAAUUUUAAAGCUAUUUAAUUGAACCAUUCCGUCUAGUUAGUGGUUAAAAAGCUGGGAACUUAUAAAACACAGCAGCAGAUUGCAAUUAGUGGGGAACUUUUGUAGCUUCGUUAAUGAAAAAUAGUAUGGCAGACUAAAUAGGACUUUAGGAAAAUUAAGUGAAUUUGAUGCUAUUUGUUGGCAAACUUCUUGGAAACCGAAGAAGAAUGGAAAAGAGAAAUAUCUUAAAAAAAGUUAAACACAACUAAUGCUCACAUUCUUAAAUUUUUUGGGGUAGUAUUAAAAAUACUUUAGUAGGUGACCAUGAGAUUUUUCCUACUAACUUUAAUCACAUGCCAAAUAAAAUGUUGCUUUUUAAAGAACAUACCAUUGCAGGUGAAAAGUACUGCCACAAACUCGAUUUGUCAAGUGACAAGAUCAUUACUUCAGAAAAGGGUAUGCUGAUUUUUGCCUCUAUCUUCCGCACUUUUCAGAAAGAAAAAAAAAAGGAGCAUAAUCAUUUAUAUGAGUUAAUAGUGACAGAAAAAAAAAAGAGUAUGUCCCUUUAAAGGAUAAACCAAAAAAAGGGUAUAAUCACUUAUUUGUGCUUUAUGAUUAUCCUAUUUGAACUACUCCUCUAUUUUCUUUUUCUUUUUUUACACUUUUCCUAUUUUUUCUUUUGACAAUGCCGUUCUUGAUAAUCCCUAAAAUACUAUCCUCUUCCAGUUUGUCUUAUUUUUCUCACAGUAUUUUUUUCUAGUUUCUGGUUGCUUUUAAGACAUAAAGAUAUAUGGAUUAGAAUUUUAUUAAUGUCCUUGAAAUCACAAAUGCACUCAAAAAUUUGUGGAACUUAUCAUCUUAUAAAUAUUGGUAAGACUAAAAACUGCUUAGACUCUAUACACUAAACAAAAAUUUAGUAUUUUUCUUUAUUUGAGCUAUUUAAUUAUUCUCAUUUUUAUAACAACUCCUGUACUCUAGAUUCUAAAAGAAACAAAAUUUUUCCAAUCUCUGUGAAUUCGAUCCUACUAACCACUAUAUAUAAAAUCUGUAUUUUUAUUAGAAUAAAUUUUUAUUAUUACAUAGGCCCGACACUUGUCAACUAUCCCCUUCCAGUUUGUCUUAUUUUUCUCACAGUAUUUUUUUCUAGUUUCUGGUUGCUUUUAAGACAUAAAGAUAUAUGGAUUAGAAUUUUAUUAAGGUCCUUGAAAUCACAAAUGCACUCAAAAAAUUUGUGGAACUUAUCAUCUUAUAAAUAUUGGUACUACUAAAAACUGCUUAGACUCUAUAUAUUUAGAAAAUAAUGGCCAACAAUAUUAAAUUAUUAAAGUGUACCCCUAAAAAAGUAAAAAAAAAUGACAAGAAAUCUUUCUCACACGACUUUGACAAUUCUUUUUGUAGGAAUGAUAUCAAGAUGACAAACACUUACCGAAAAGAAUAUGGUUUUAGUUGUCAUGGGAUUCAAGUAACUUGAGUAAUUGACUCUCAAAGUUAUGACUAGCAACAAAUUUCACCGGUAAAUUUUAAAUAUUUAACUAAGGUAACUGUUUUGAUAUAGGAAUUUGAAAAAAAAAAAAAGGUAAUAACUCAAUCAAUUGAACUACUGCUUUUUAGCCUAUCACUCCAAAAUAUAUUCAGGAAAAGCCAAUAAAAGAAUUCCUUUUAUUUUUUUGGGAUAAUUUCAGAAACCUCCCCUGAGGUUUCUGACAAUUUCACUGACCUCCCCUGAGGUUUCCACAAUUACACUAACCUCCCUUGAGGUUUCUGAUUUUGUAACAAAAUCAGCCCAUGACCACAAAAGUAAACAUAAAAAAGUGUUUUCAGGAAAGAGAGGAAAUUUUGUUCCCAUAAAUGCCCUUAAGGUAGGUGUACAAGUUAUAUUAGUGAAUUAAUGAAAACUAAUAAAAAUCAGAAAUAAAUAAGAAAAAGUGAGGGGAUGGGUAUGGGAAUCAUAAAAUUUUACUUAUGGAUAUAAACAAUUGGGUAACGCAACCGACCCAAUUAACCCAUCUACCACCACUCAGGUCAUUUCACAAAUACAUUCAUCAGACAAAGCUUUCCUCUUGUCACAAAAAUUCAAAGCAAUGUGGUACAUGUUCACAAGCAAGCAGGUUAAAAUCCCGCCUGCAUAAUAACGUUGAAACCCUGCAAGCGGGAUUCUGUGUUUUUUCUAUUUCAAGGUUAGCUCGCAUGCGGGUUAAUGUUAUAUUUGAGCGCGAGAAGAAAAAAUUGGUAAUUAGGCUCUUUGGGCAUUAUAAGUAAAUAUUUAAAUUAAUGGCAGUUUUAUUACACCAAUAUUAUUGUAUUAUCAUUAUUAUGAUUAUUGUAUUAUUUCUUAUGCAAAUAUAACAUUUAAUUAUUUAAAUUUGAUUUUAUUUUUACAAUUUAUAAAAUUUUUAUCACUUAUAUAAUAUUUUUAAAACCCUAAUACAUCUAAAUUUGAUUUUAUUUUUCAAAUUUAUAAGAUUUUUAUUUAAAAAAAUGGGAUACGGAUAAGAUAUCCGGUUGGUUCGAUUUGCAUAGGUGCAUAUGAGAAUAUCCGAAUACUCUUUAAACCCGCAUGCGGGUUUAAGGAGAUUAUGGCAACUCUCUGACACACUAGUUACCCGUCCAACUUGUGUGUAUUAAAAUAUAUUUAAAUAUUAUAUUUCAUAUUUUUGUUAUUUAGAGUUUAACAAAACAUUAAUAUUGGGUAGAUUUGAGGGAUAUGCAUAAUUUUGCAUAUUUGUAGGAAUAUUAGAAAAUGGAAAAUUUGGGUAAAUUCCCAAAUUUUGGAGGUAAGGUGUAAUCCAAGAACUAAAACAGUCAUUUAUAAAACCUUAACAGUAAUAAGGUGCAAACCAAAACUGCAAUCCAAGAGUAAUAUCAUUACAAAUUUCAUAACCAUACAUUAAAUAAAUAGAAAUGCAAUCCAAUACUAUCCAAAACACCAUCUGCCUUAUCAUAUUUUAGUCCUAUAAUAACACAAAAUGUCUUGGGUAUAAUAGUAAUUUUGCAUUAUAUGAUGUCAGCAAUUGGGUCCCAAGUUCUGCCAGGGGAGGUCAGUGUAAUUGUGGAAACCUCAGGGGAGGUCAGUGAAAUUGUCAGAAACCUCCCCUGAGGUUUCUGAAAUUAUCCCUAUUUUUUUUUUAGUUGGGAUUGCAUGGAUAGAAUAUUACUUAGAAAAACUUUUGUAUAAUUCACUGUAGCAUGUUUUGUAGUAUAAUGUAUUUAAGAUAAAUAAGUAAUUGUAAAACAUGUUUAAGAGCAAUUAAAAAAAUAAAUAUUCUUUUAGAGUCAUCACAAUGAUACGUAACACAUCUGUCCCACAAAUUAGACAUCAUUGCAUAAGUAAAUCAGUAAAGGACAGAUUCACAUGUGAAUAUUGUCCGGAAGUCUGUAAGUUCAGCCCCACACCUUUUAUAUUAACAGAUCUGAACGCGGUUUGAUUUGUUGACCAAUAGUACUGAAUCGCACAUUAUUAAAGUUCAUCAUAUUACGAACCGAUGACCAACUCUAAUUUCUUCCUUUUCUGUACAAGCCACAAGGUCAAGGAGCCUCUGUUCCUUUCCUGAUAUUCUCAAGUUAAAGAAAAGGACUGAAAAUGGCAGAAACAGUUCUCUCUUUUGUGUUAGAUCAGCUCUCAAUUUUUCUGCGUGAAGAGGGCAGAUUAUUGGGAGGGCUUCGCCAAGAGGUUCAACUCAUCAGCGAUGAGUUGGGGCACAUGAGAGCUUUCGUGGGAGUGGCAGAAACAAUAGAAGAAGGUGCUGAUCCCAGGCUCCAAGAAUGGAUCAAGCAAGUACGAGAAGCCGCUUAUGACACCGAAGAUGUUCUUGAUGAAUUCGUAGCUUGCUUUGCUCACCAUCAUGCAACAGGGUUCUAUGGCUCUGUUAGGAAAAUUUUCAACUCCAUAAAGACUUUGCGAGCUCGUCGUAAGGUUGCUGUGCAAAUACAAAGCAUCAAGGCCAGAGUAAAGAAUAUAUCUGAAGGGCAUCAGAGAUACCAAUCAGAAUUCGGCGGUACUACCCAAGCGGCCGAGUCUCUCGCUGCUGUUAACAACACAACAUGGCGCUAUAGCAGGGAUGAUGCACUUCUCGUGGAAGAAGCUGAACUAGUUGGCAUUGACCACCCCAAACAACAGCUAAUUUCUCAACUACUCGAGAGGGAUGAUUCCCAGCUCAAAGUUGUUUCUGUGGUUGGCAUGGGAGGACUCGGUAAAACUACCUUAGUCAAAAAAGUCCACGAAGAUUAGCUAUUAGAAGGCAUUUCCCAGUUCGUGCCUUUGUAACUGUCUCUCAACCAUGCAACUUCCUGGAGCUCCUGAAAGACUUGACUCGGCAGUUACACAAUGAAUUGAAGAAACCAGUUCCAGAAUCGAUUGAGGCAAUGACUGCAAUUCAGCUGAAACAAUGUGUUAAAGAUUUUCUUCAACAACCUGUAAGGUAUGCAAUUGUGUUUGAUGAUGUAUGGGAUGUAGAAUUCUGGAAUGCAAUUAGAUUUGCACUGCCCGAAAAUGGCUAUGGCAAUCGCGUCAUGCUAACAACACGAAAAACCGAUGUAGCCUCUGCAUCUUGCAACAAAUCUCAAGAUUAUGUCUUCAAAAUGGCGCCCCUGUCUUUCGAGGAUUCAUGGACCCUAUUUUGCAGCAAGAUCUUCAAGGAAAAUGGUUGUCCUGCCCAUCUAAUAGAUGUUGCAAAAGGUAUACUGGGGAAAUGUGAGGGAUUGCCCCUUGCGGUUCUUGCAAUCAGUGGGCUUUUGGCUUUGAAAGACUUGAAUAUUGCAGAGGAAUGGGAGAUGGUUCGACGCAGCCUUGGGGGUGAAUUAGAAGGCUGUGGUAUGCUGGACAGGGUAAAAAAGAUACUUUCUCUCAGUUACAAUGAUCUGCCCUGCCAUCUUAAGUCCUGUUUGUUGUAUUUAAGCAUUUAUCCAGAGGAUUUUGAAAUACGUUGUGGUAGACUUGUUCGAUUAUGGUCAGCUGAAAGAUUUGUAGGUAAGAAAGAAGGAAUGACUGUGGAAGAUGUAGGCUACAAUUACCUCAGAGAACUGGUCAAUAGGAGCCUAAUUCAAGUGACCCAAAUUUUUUAUGAAGGAAUCCCCUACGCUUGUCGAAUCCAUGAUCUAGUGCGAGAAAUUGUUCUUUCCAAGGCAAGGGAACAAAAUAUGAUCGCAAUUACUACUGGACAAUACACAAAGUGGUUGUAUGAGAAGGUACGCCGUUUGGUAGUCCAUAGUAGCAGCAACAACACCGAGCAGCACCAAGAAAGCCAAUGUUAUAGCUUUAACCACCUUCGAUCCUUUAUUACGAUUGAAUCCAUGAAUCCACCGAUAUCCAGAGCCUUGUUAUGUAAAGCUUUAAAGAGUAGCAGACUGUUAAAGGUUUUGGAUCUGAGUGAUGAAAAGACAUUGGAGGAAAUCCCAAAUGAGAUUUUCAACUUGUAUCAUCUCAGGCAUCUGAACCUAUAUAGGACAGGGGUUAAAGCAGUCCCGAAAUUCAUAGGAAAGCUUCGAAAUUUGGAGUAUUUGGAUUUGUGUGAAACUGAAGUCAAGGAAUUACCCGUGGAAAUCCUGAAGCUACAAAAUCUUGAGCAUCUUAUGGUAUACCAAAAAGUUGAUUCUUCUGAUGACAGUCAAGGAUAUCAUGGGUUUAAAGCUCCACCAAAAUUGGGAGGACUUCUUGCCCUACAAUCAUUAACAACCAUAGAUGCGAGUAACGGAUCCGUAAUAGUUAAAGAGAUAGGAGCAUUGACUCAAUUAAGACGAUUAGGGAUUUCAAAUCUGAGAAGAGAAGAUGGAAAGGUGCUCUGCUCCUCCCUCGCCACCCUCACUAGUCUUCGGCAACUAAACAUUAGUUUAAUUAGAAAUGAUGGGGGUGAUUAUGAGGUAAUGGAUCUGAAUCAUCAUGAUCAACAACAACAUUCUCUUUCAUCUUCAAUGCCUUCUUCAUUUCUCCAAUCUCUUCGUAUGCUAAUAUUGCAUGGCCGCUUAGAAAAGAUGCCGAAAUGGAUAGCUCAUCUUCAAAGCUUGGUAAGAAUAGAUUUGGAUUGGAGUGGCUUAAGGGAUGAAGAGGAUCUGCUUGAACCCCUCCGCCAUUUGCCAAAUUUGGUUAUUAUUCAAUUUUGUGGAUCUUACCAAGGAGAGGGGUUGUGUUUCAAGGCUGGAGGAUUCCUGAAGUUAAAGAAAUUGUACCUAGAGAAAUUAGAGAAGUUGAAAUGGCUGAAAGUGGAGGAGGGUGCAUUACCCAAUCUCCGCAAACUUUGUCUGGAUACACUUCCAUUGCUAGAGGAGUUACCUUUGGGAAUUCAGCACUCAAGGAAUCUUCGAAAGCUGUAUUUGUCUGGGUUGAGUUCUCAACUGAUGGAGAAGCUAGAGAAUCUAAAUGAAGAGACUGAAGAUUAUAGAAAAAUUGCACACGUUUCUGAAGUUGUCAUUGGAUUGUGGACAGAUGAGGGAUGGAGACUGCACCGGCUGUGGGGGAAGAAUAUGUAAGGCCUUGUUUGGAUUGCGGUUUUUCGUCAGAAAAUUAUGUCGUUCUCGUUUUCCGUGAUCACAUUUCCCUAUGAUCUUUUUCCCUCACAUACAUCAAAUCGUUACAGUAAUUUUUCCAUGAAAAAUCAUGGAAAAUGCAAUCCAAACACAACCUAAAUAUUUCCUUCCUAUUUCUUUUCUUCUUUUUUUUUUGUACGUUUGUUUGUAACUUCUGAGUUUAUAAUUUGCUUUAUCUUUUAUCUAAUUGUAUAAAUAUUGUGUUGCAUAAUCUUGUUUAUUUUUUUCUUUAAUUGAUUUAGCCAAUAAUUUAGAGGUGCCUUAGCAUCUUGCACACAAUUUCAAUAUACAAUCUAAAACAAUAGCCUAAAAUUUUGGUACAAAAUUAAAACAUGAAGCCUAUGUUUAUACGCUGGUAUGACUUAGAGAUUGAUUUCUCUAGUAGUUAAUAAUAUAGUAAUUUUUGGACAAAUAAUGGUUGUAUCAGUCCUUUAUGCUCAUCCAUCUGUCCUUUUGGACAAAUUAAUAUUCUCAAGUAAAUUAUUUUCAAUCAUGCCCACUUAUUACAGUCAUGAAAACAAUUUCUUUUUUCCAUGAAUUGAUAAUCGAAUGUUCGCACUAUAAUGCCCAAUCCACCAAGGUUCAUUUUUAAACUAAAAAUAUUGAAGUUGCUAAAAUUGAGAACUUCUACAUCACACAGAAGUAUUUGUUGAUGAAUGCAGUCAUACUCAUAGUCAAUAUUUGUAAGGCAACACAGAAGUAUAAAAAAGCAAAUAAUAGUGCUUUGUUUGGAAAGCAAUUUUUCUCCCAAGAAAGUGUCUGAGAUUUGUAUUUUACAAGUCAUGUAACUUGUAAUGAUGCCUACAACUGUCAAAAUUACGUAUUUAUAUCAUAGGAUAUGCUUGCAUCCUAUGCAUCAUAGGAUGCUUUUCCCUGCAAAUUCCUGAGAAAAAUUCUAUGCAAACAACUCAAAGGGAAGAAGGUCAACCCAAUACCGGGAAGGAUUCACAUGAUUCAGAUAUUGCCGUAUCAUGGGUCUGAUUCAUGUGUCCCUAUCCUUCAAGUUGACUAAACCAGUCUGUAAUUGUUCUUGUGAGGACUCUAGUGUCGUUCAAAGAAAUUGUCUUAAGACCUUGAGCAACAGCAUCUACAGGCGAGUAUAUAUCUCCCACUUGCCAUCUAGGUUCCUGAUUGUCCAACAAAACAAAUUUCAGCAUAAAUGGAGAAUAAAAAGAAGAAAUUUAGUUAGAGAACAAUCGUUGACCAUGUCAUUUUCUGAAUCCUGAUUGUUCUGAUUACCGUGCCACUUUCCAAUUUUUUAUCAAAAGUGACUUAAAGAUCAUGCUAAGUAAUACAUACACAAUUGGCACAAGAUACAAGGCGCAGCACAACAUGUCAGCAUAAAUUCCCAGAAAGCAAAGGACUAAAGAUUAUGAUACAAAAGGAGUACAAAGUUACUGCAGCAUACCUGUAUGCAAGGUGUAAUAUGAGUUCCAUUCAAUAUUAUUUUCUGUAGUUUUGCACCAAUAGAUUCCACUCGAGGCUUCAGUGUCUCUUCAAGGAGAUCAGUCUGAUCAAUUGCAUCAACAUUGAACUUGACCUGAAAAAAGAAUCAGAUAGACUUAAAAGUGAACAUUGAAGUUGGAGCAAUUCAAUCAAUUCUGGUACUUGAAUAACAUGUUCAAACCAGUAAUGUAUGCUGAACAUUGUAUGACUUCUGGAAACAGUCAAGAUUCUCAGAGGGUGUUGGCCUGAACUCCGAAAUUCCUUCAGCAAGCUGAAGUAACAUCCAUUUGAGGCAGUUUGAGGAUUAGAGAAUGACCAGAAGACAGAAAGAGCGACAAUGCCAUUUCACCAUUUGACAGAAAAAUGAUGGAGAUAUAGACAUGUUCAGCCACAAAGGUGGCAGGAUUUGUUUUCCAGGUUGGAUAGACAUCAUCAUGUAAGUGGGGUGUCACCUGAUUAAAAACAGCCGGCAAGUGAUCAACAAACUUGUUGACUGACACUGCCACUUCUGGAUCGUAAUCUGGAAUCAUGGUUCCAGCAGUAUCAAGUAGUACUUUCCAUGCAUCUGCUGUAUAUUAGUAUCAAUGACAGGAGAAGGCAUUAGAAGCAGAAAGAUGACAAUUUGAUUCAACCUCAUCAGCCAUAUGUCUUCAAUCAAAUGAAGCAUUGUAUCAUACCUAUGAAAAAAAUCCCAAUUUGAUUUUAAAACCUGUACCAGGAUAUUUUCAUUACUACUUGAAGGCUUGCCUUGGUUUACAGAGAUACCUUAUAUUUGGUAAUUGUGAAACUUGGGGAGGAUUUAAUAAAAGUUUCAAAAAUAAUAAUUUCAAGGUCUUGAAUUGAUUUCUGUUUCUUGUAAAUCAUAAAAAAUGAAAGGACAAGUUAAUUAUAUGUCACUCUUGUGCUCUAUUGCUUCUUCGUGAAUAAUAAAGUACACGAAACAUAACCUGCCAUUGUUUGCAAGUAAAUAUCUCUGUAUUCCCUAAGACCCUAGAAAUAAUAUUCUACUCCCUCGACACAAAAUAUAAGACCGAUGUUUUAGAUGAUCUAAAGCCUGACAUCAAAACACUUCAUGCAUAAAGUUUCUCUUCUUGAUAAAGCCCAGUUUUCAAGCAUCAUUCUGCAUCGCAUUGUUAUAAAAGCUUUAUGCACCAUUAGCUUGAUCAAGGAUUAAAUGAAUACACUACUUGCUUCAGUGUCCAUCAUGCUCAUAUCUUCAGGAAUAAAUGAGAAACAACAUUAUGUGGGUUAUGUGAAGGAAGGACUUAGGAGGACUCGUAGAUUACAGCCAAGCAUGUGCAGACUCCCCAGUCCCCCCACCUCCCCUCCCACCCCCCCCCCCCACAACAAUCAGGGAGAGGGGGGGUUGGGGGAAGCCUCUAUGGUUCAGGAAAAUAAUGUUUAGGCCACACAAGGAAUUAACUGUUAGUAAACAUUUGCAAAAUUAAGAAAAAGAAACCAAAUGCAAAAGUACAAAUUCAAUUAUAGUUAAUGAUUCAUUUUCUUUUUCUAAUUUCUAAUUAUUAAGUUUUGUACAAACUGAAAAAAUUAUUUUUGUUGUUACUGCUACAUUUGCUAUCUACAAUGAAAAUGCACAUAUUAACAUUUGAAAGUUGCAAUGAAGUACACUCUCUGCAAAAUGUCAAAUAACGUUUCCUUUUUUUUAGUGUAAGUGGGACGGCUUGAACCUGGGAUCUCUCACUUACUCUCCCCCCCCCCCCCCCCAAAAAAAAAUAAAUAAUGUCUCAUUUUCUGUUUAAUGCAGAUAUUGUUGAGGCCUCUUUCAAAGCAUUAAAAUGGAAUCAGGACCAAAGAGCACUUGUAUGCCUGGGUAAUCUUGCGUAUGUUUCAAGGCCUCAGAAAAUAACAUUUGCAAGAAGAUUCUCUUUUAGCAUAUGCAUAAGGAAAUCAAGGGUAGAGACACUUCAGCAAACUAUAGUUCCAAAUAAUUGGUCUUCAGGAACCCAAAGAGUUGCACAGGACAGGGAAUUAGUAUAAGAUUAAAUCAAACUGGUGGUACCUAUUCAAAUUUUGUCCAAUACGGUAGAUGUACUCAUCCUCCAUUACAUUAACAGAAGGUUUGUUUUCUGAAUAGAAGAGAAAAUGAAAAAGGUAAAUAAACAUUGGCAAGAAUGUCACAACAGUCACAUGAACUACUCAAUAAGUGCAGAUAGAAAACUACCCAACCAUGUUGAGUGCAGAUCGUCAAUCUGUGGAUAAUAAAGUUGGAACCUACAACUAGAAGCUUUGAUUUGGCUACAAAUUCAUGAUAUCCACACAUUAGUAGCUCCACAAGUAUUUGUGUUGACACAAAUUGUAGGAUACAAUUUCUACAGCAUGCCUUGCUAGUUUCUGAAAAGCCUAUGACCUACCCCUCAUUCUUGAGCUAUCUAUGACCAUCAAUAGAGUUCUUCUAUAUAAACCACCUCAUAGGUAACCAGUUUUCCACUCUGUUGUUUAACACCCUUAUACAGAACUUAACCCUAAAAAGUUAAACUAACUCAAAGAAAAUAGUUCUACACUAUCACUGCAAUUUACAAUAGAUAAAUAAAACAGAACAGGAACAUUCCCUACCACCCCAUCCCUUUUUGCACUCCACCAAUACUCAUCAGUCUACAACACAAAUUCCACCACCUAACCCAAACUACAAGUUAGAUCAUGGGAAGGUGAGAGCAAAAAUGACCUUCAAGAGUCCAAACAAAGCCACGCUGUUUCUCAUCAAAGCUAAUGUCAAUGGUGAUUGGAUCAUGGGAAGGUGAGAGCAAAAAUGACCUUCAAGAGUCCCAACAAAGCCACACUGUUUCUCAUCAAAGCUAAUGUCAAUGGUGAUUAUAUUAACAACAAGGGAUUGAUUUGGCAAUUUCUCAGUAGCCCGCUUUUGUAAAGAGCAUACAAUUAAUCCUGGGAUUCAAAAGAUUUCUAUUAGACUAACACAGCAUUGAUGUAUGAGUAGCUAAAGCAACAUAACUAAUGAUGUUUAAUUUUAAAAAAGUAUUAAGAAAAUUAAGAAACCUUUCACUGUGAUCAACCUGAGGCAUUUCGAGUGAAUGAAUAUACUGGAGACGCUUCCAUAAUUGGAAAUAUUUGACUGACAAGAGGUCCUAACUGCAUCAUAGCAUAAUACAACUUCAAAAAUGAGGAAUGUUACAAAAGCAAUAUUAGUUCUUUGAGAGGCAGGAGACAAAAUUUGACACGGAUUCUAAAGCAAGGGCUGAGAAACUGGAGCCCUACCAGUUGAACGAGUAUAGUAACAACUCAUCAUAUAAGCAUAUUUACAAUCAACUCCGCCUUGGUAUAUAAGAUUUAAAAUGAAAUUAAGGUUCAAAAACAUAUGACAAAAUUGAUCCACCAAAUCUCAAGGUAUAAUAUUUAUGCAAUAUCAAAAUAUAAAUUAAACAAACUAGAUAAAUGUUUAGAUCCAAAUUUCCAUAUAAUCCUCAAUGUUGAUUUGCUCGAGUUAAACCAUCACCAAGAUCAUGGAUAUGUUAACUAUAAUGUUGUUUACAUCGAUUCCCAUUUAUACUGAACUAAUUUGUAUUCUUGAAUGAACGGAAGACCGAUAUGACUUCACCCUUUGGAUGAAUAAUAAUUGGUGAACAGUUCAGUAUAAGGACAAAAUUACAACAAUCACAAAUGAACAAAAGUGCGUUAGUUGCUGUAGAAGCCAUCAGCAAGCAGAAGCAUAGAUACUAAAACUCCAAGCAGAAAGAUCUAGAAAUGAAGUGCAAAGUCAGUAAUAUGUACAGACAUACCAUUUCCACAAAUAUAUGCAAUCUACUAUGGACACUCUUUUAAUUUAUAAACUGCAUAUUACACUUUCUACUUCACAUUUUUUUCCCUUUAUUUUCUGAGUUGCUACCUUCAGUUACCAUUUGUCCUGUUUCACUUAUAAGAUUACCCAUUUUCUUGCUCCCUGUAACGUCACCAAUUAUUUCCUUUCCAAAAAAAAAAUCUUCACUUUACAUCAACUUCAUGGCAUAGCUGAAGCAAUAUAAGUUACUCACAACCCACCCAUUAUAUGAGCAUAUACUAUCUGACAUAUUAUAAAAAAUUUUCUUUGUUAAUUGACAGUCAUAGUAUGACAUUGAUGUGAUGGCACCUUUACAUUCCUUUAUGCAUUAGCUUUUUCAUGUUUGUUUUAACAUUUUCCAUCUUAUACAUAUUCCAAUGUAAAGGGAAUAGCAUGACAAUUAAGGAGAUUUUGAGGAUGAUAGGCAUGUGAUCCGACACAACGGGUCAUGUAUACAUCUUUCGACAACUAAGAUGUUACUAUCCAUAGGAUUAUUGAAGGAUUAGUAGAAUUGCACUUGAAAAAGGUAAUAAACUCAUGCCAUGGCAUGAUAAUGAAAGCAAUCUUAGUAGCUAAAGAGCCCUUCAUCCACCAAGUAUGCUCUCAGAAAUGGCAGCAGCUGGGUAAACGUCAAAUAUCUACAGGACAUGACUUUUACUUCACUGGUGGGGGAGGGCUUAGAGUGCAACGCUUCACCAGCAUCUACACUCACAAAUCGUAGAGUUCCCAGAACUCAGACAAACUACAUCAGUCAGUUGUAUCGCUAUCAUAGAUCCUCAAUAGAAACCACGAUUCUUUUAAAUUUACCCUAUAUAUUGGUUUGAAGAUUCAGAGAGGCAAUGAAAGAAUAGGCUGUUUACCUCGUGAAAUUUGAGCAGAAAUUAGAUUUAAGAAGUAGAGGUUAAUUAGAGAUUAGGAGAGGUAAAGGGCAAAAGAAAGGAAGGAAGGAAAGAUGACUACUAAGACUUCACAGGUAAGAGACUAAGAGGGGUUUCGUUCUGAAACUUUCUUGAUUCAAACUCACCCUCAUUUACAAAAACUAAUGCAAGCUAUUAAAAAAGUCUAACACAGCAACCUAAAAGCUUUCUCAUGUAAAAAAAAAAAAGCAGCCAUUCAAGAGUAGAGUCUGUGGCAAUUGUUGUCCACUACAAUAGUAGCUAUGUAGGAUGACCAUUGAACUCCCAACCAUGGGUGGUCUUUGAAAGUCCACCCAUGCCUACCCAUUGGACUUCCAAUCAUGCUUUACCCUUGGACUUCCACUACUAGUUUCAAGUACAGUAUCAUUAUCAGGCAGCCAACUACUUACCAACAAAAGUUGCAGCAACAAGCUCAACAGUUGCACACUGAAAAUUGGCAAAUGAACCACAAUCUGAAUCUUAAAUCAAUUCCAGAGCUAAAAGAUUGUGAAACUGAAGUUUUUUUUCCUUCGAUAUAUUGAUGUCUUUCAUGUCCUGCAUCACACUAGCUAAGCCGUGGCUACAAUUAUUUGAUCCACCCUAGAGCACCAUUACCUGCUUGGCAUAGUAUGCAGCAGCUCUUAUGUCACAUGGUCGGAACUAAGAGGGAAACAAAAUGCCCUAUAUACAAAUCGAAAAGGAUGAUUUUACAAACUAAUCUUAUUAUCCAUAGUAAAAAUGAUAUAUAUGAAAGGAUACCCAAAUCUAAGCAAAUUUGUCAGAUACCACUGAAAUGAAUCAAUUUGCAGGACUCAACUAGGUUGCAGGUGCAACACCAACUUCUACACUCACGAGUUGCUGCCAUCCUGUGCAUGAACUCAUAGAGACUAUUUCAGCAAGUGGCAUAACACAGAUGCAUCCUGACUCACUAAACAUUGUUUUGAACUACUCAAUCUACCCAUAGAAGUCCAUUCCCAGCUUCACAUAUUACAUAACAGCUCUUUAGUCAUUAUGAGCCAGCCAGGAAGAAUUGUAAUCCCCAAAGGUUUUUGGGCUCUUGAAGGGUGGCCUCCAAGAGUUCAUGGCCACAACUGUAUAAGAAAAGGAAAUCCCCAUCCAUGUUCCUUGGAAGCCAGUAAAAGCCAGAACUAGGAACAUGAAAGAAACUAAAGCAUAAACUGCAAAUUUUUCCUUCCCCAGGAGCAUUGCAUGAAUAGCCCAAGUUAUGGCAGUUAGAGAUGAAGGGGGCAAAAAGGGCAAUUUUCUUUCUUCUUUUUUUGUGUGAAGGAAUAAGGGUAAGUACUGUAAAUACUUAAAUAAAGAAAGACCUUUAGCGUUGAAAUAAAUAAAAAAAUAGCAAACAUCCAAUUUAAUAAAGAUUAAUUGCUCAACUUCAACAGCAAAAAAUGUUACAAGCCACCAUUUUUUAUUUUUGGAUAGUCAGGAUAACAGCUAAGCCCCUUAAAUUAGUAUUGGAACAGAAUUACCUGCUCAAAGUAUGGUACUGCCUCUGACGCUGGCCUGUUGUUGUAUGAUAUUAUUGCAUUUGCCUUCAUUGAGAGACAAGUAUAACCUUCAUUAAGUCAAAAAGUACUAAACACUGAACUACAGUGCAUUUUCACACAUUAAAGCUGCAAAAGCAUAACUUUUUAGCUAUAUCUUUCUUAUCUUAAUUAAGUUCAAUUUUGGUUAAGCACUUAUGAAACUUUGGAAGAAAGAAGGAACCUUGGGUAUCUUCUCACAAAAAUAACUUCCAGUAAGCACUUGUAGAAGUGCACCAUUGCUGCAAUUAUAGUUAAACCAAAUAACGUCAAGGAUAGUUUCGUGAUAAGAAUGAAAUAAAAGUUAGAUAAAUUAGAUAGCAUUUUAGGCAUGGUUAUCUAUAACGAAGUCUCAUCGGAAUGAAACUUAGGAGUACUAGCAAGGUUUUUAACCUUGAAGUAUUCUUCAUCACGCUCACCAUUUCAAAGUAAACGUUCCCAGCAUUUUGUUAAUUCAAUCAGUUACAAGUUCCUCCAAUCUAUCCAAGCCUAACUCGAUCAUCUUAUGUUCAAAAAACAAUUCAUUGGACAACUAUCCCAUGUUCAGCUCCAAAACAGCUUUACUGAACCUCUGCUAUGAUAAAAUGAAUGUUGCUAUGAAGGUUAGCAGCUCCAAUACACAUUGAUGUAAAGAUUCCUCAAGAAAAAAAGAGGACACGCCUAACAUCCUCAGGACAAAGUAUAUCAUUGAACAUACAAACUAACAUUAGACAACACAAUUAAGGCUUUAUGAAGUUUAAUUUGUGAUCAUUAAUGCUCAAUUAACCUCCACUCACCUAUGGCCAACCGAGUAAAGUGGAAGAUCAACAAUAUCAUCAGGUGAAAGGCCAUAUUCUGGCAAUUCAGACCCCAAAAUCAAAUCAAAGCCAGCAUGAAACCUCUCAUAAAUCUCCCUAGUUACUUUUUCAUGAUCAAAUGUCGCGUUAUAUGGCACCAAGAUAAUGAAAUAGCCUUCAUUUGCCAGUUGCUCAAGCAAAUAGCUGCCACCACAACAAAAACAACUAAUCAAACAAAACAGAUCAUAAGACUCUAUUAGCAUUUUAGUUUACAAUAGAAAAAAUUGAAUUAACAACCCUCUGUUCUGUAGUAAACAUCACCAGCGCAAUGUCAUCACAGUUUGAAUUUCAAUCAAGUACACCUUGUUUUUCCAGCGCAAUGUUUCCAUCUUCUUUUCCCGAGUUAAAAAAAAAUUACUUCAACCAGAGGAAAAAAUCUUCCAAUAAAAAAAAAUUAACGCUACAAGCAAAUUUAUUUUAGUUUCUGUGUUUCAAGAAUUAACUCAAGGAUUAAUCUAAUAUAGUGUGUUAAAACUGUAGUUGGACAAGCAAGUAGCCACAUAUAUUAAUCCAGAAAUUAAAUUAAAAUGUUCCAUCCCAGAAAUCUAACAGCACUUCAUCAAAAUAGCAAAAAAAAAAAAAAAGACAUGAAAAUUAUCAACUCUAAUAGUCAAGUUUGAAACAGAGAUAUUAACGACAGGCGAAUAUUGAUUGACCUGUAAGAAACUUCGGGGACAGCUCCAACAAAAGCACCUCCCAAAAAUUUAAUAAUGGCUUUGGGUUUUUUCCCUCUUGGAGGAGGAAUGACCAAACAAGACUCAAGCCUGUUGUAAAUUCUACCAUUAUGAUUCACAAAAGAAGUGUUCUUUGGAGCUAUUGGGUUUAACCAUAUUCAUUUGGGUCCUGCAAAUUGUCAUUUUUGAGGGUCUUGCGCAAUUCUCAGUAGGGAAAACCCCUCUGGAGAGAUAAUUGAGGAAAGGGCUUUCUUUAAAUUUGUUGAUUCUUGGAAAGUUGUUGAGAACAGAAGUGGUGCUAGCCACGGCGGCCAUGGCCGGCCUUCUUCACUCGGAGUCGGAGGUUCUAGUUGGGUGUUGGGAGGGGAAAUUUGGAGCUAAAAAUGUGAAGCGCGGGAGGCAGUACGUGGCAUUCUACUUGCGCCUCCUUUGUGUCAGCUACAUUUCCUAUUUAGAUUUGGAGUCUCCGUUUUAGUGGAUUUUGUGCAUUUGUUUGGUGAUAAUCGAGUAAUUGUCUAAUUUCUCCUCUUUUUUUUUUUUUUGGCCUUACGUGCAAUUUGUGUCUUUGAGUCCUUUUUUUUUUUUUGGUCAAAAAUCAUUUGUAUUGUAUUAGUGUAGUAAUCAUUUAUGUACGCAUGUACAAUUAAGAGACUACUGAUUGUAAAAUUUAGAUGUGUCUCUAUUUUAAGGUGCACACGAACUAUAUUUCGUAUUUAAGAUUGGCUAAAUUAUCUUUUUAUUCCCCUGUGGUUUGAUACUUUACCACAUAAUCCCCCUAUGGUUUAAUAAUCUAUAUAUAACCUCUUCAUGGUUUGAGUUAAAAUAUCACCGUUAAUUUUUUCGUUAAAACUAACGAUCAAUAGUAAAAAGUCAAAAUCAAACUAAUAAAUUAACAAAUUUAUGCUUUUAUUACUUCUUUUUUCCCUCCAAACGUAAAAAAGAAGAAAUUGAAAUAAAAACUACAUACAUAAGAACUGGAAAAUACCAUUAAAAUUUUGAUUUGAAAACCUAUAAUGAUAUUUGUAGUAAAAAAAAUUGGUAUUUUUGUUUCUUAUUUAUUUGUUUUAUAUUUCGCUUCCAUCUUUUUUGUUUCUUAUUUAUUUAUUUAUUUAUUUCCCUUCCAUUUGUUUUGUAAUUGGAGAAAGUUAAUAUUUUGUAUUUUAAAUUAUAGAUUUUCAAAAUAAUCUCUUCUCUUCCCAAGAGAGAGAGAGAGAGAGAGAAGAAAAAGAAAAAAAGUAAUGAUAGGGUGAAUUUGUCAAUUUAUUAAUUUGACUUUGACUUUUUACUAUUAACUGUUAGUUUUAAUAGAAAACUAAUAGGGACACUUUAACUCAAACCAUAAGAGAAUUAUAUAUAGGUUUUAAACUAUAGGGGCUUAUGUGGUAAAGCCCAAACCAUAGAGGGUGAAAGGUAUUGAACCCUUUAAGAUUUGGUUUAGUAAUGGUAAAUCUUGUCAAACAGUUGCUAACAUGAUCAAGUUUUUUUUUUUUUUUUUGUGGGUCAAAAGUCAUUCGUAUUGUACCAUUGUAAUAAUCAUUUAUAUAAGCAUGUACACUCAUUUUAAGGCACAUAAAAAACUAUACUUCGCACAUAGGAUUUUGGUUUAGUUGAAUGGUAAAUUUUGUCAAACAAUUGCUAACAUGAUUUUCCUAUUUCUUUACAUAAAAAGAAAACUACACUUACGAAAACAGGUUUGCAGCUUCCAACUAUCUACAAUUUUUUUGGUUGAUCUUAUUUACUACUUGGGAUAAUUGCAGAAACCUCCCUUGACUUUUAUAGUAAUAGCAUUGACCUCCCCUAUCAAUUUUGAAAUAGCACUGAUCUCCCCUAUCAAAAGUUGGAGGCAAUUUAAUAGGUAAAAGUGGGUCAAUUUACUAAAGUACCCCUGACAUGAUUUAAUUUUACCAAAUGAAUGUGAUGAGUACUUUCAUCAAACCCAACAAAACAUUUGUUAAUAACAAUUACACUAAAUUAACUAUUUCUGCAUAGUUUAACUAAUUAACCAAUUAACUAAAUAACUAAUAAUCUAAUUAAUUAAUAACUAAUUAUCUAAUUAACUAAUUAACUAAUUAACUAAUUGUUAAUAGUUAUUAACUAAUCAAACUAUUUCUGCAUAAUUAAACUAAUUAACUAAUUAUCUAAUUAACUAUUAACUAAUUAACUAAUUAUCUAAUUAAUUAAUAAACUAAUUAACUAAUUUCUGUUUAUCCAAUUAACUUAUCUCUAUUUAUCUAAUUAACUAAUUAACUAAAGUUGUUGUCUGUCCGAAACUAAUAAAUUAUUUACAUGUUAAACUAAUUAACUAAUUAGCUGCUUAACUAAUUAACUACCUAAUUAUCUAAUUAACUAAUUAACUAAUUAUCUAAUUUAGUUGUCUAUCCGAAACUAACAAACUAUUUGCAUGUUAAGCUAAUUAACUACUUAACUACUUAACUAAUUAACUAAAGCUGUUGUUUAUCCUAAACUAACAAACUAUUUGCAUGUUAAACUAAUUAACUAAUUAACUGCUUAACUAAUUAACUAACUGAUUAUCCAAUUAAUUAAUUAACUAAUUUUUGUUUAUCUAAUUAACUAAUUAUCUAAUUAACUAAUUAACUAAAUCUGUUGUCUGUCCGAAACUAACAAACUAUUUGCAUGUUAAACUAAUUAACUAAUUAACUACUUAACUAAUUAAUUAUCUAAUUAUCUAAUUAAUUAAUUAACUAAUUAACUAAUUUCUGUUUAUCUAAUUAACUAAUUAACUAAAGCUAUUGUCUAUCCAAAACUAACAAACUAUUUGCAUGUUAAACUAAUUAACUAAUUAACUGCUUAACUAAUUAACUAACUAAUUAUCUAAUUAAUUAAUUAUCUAAUUAAUUAAUUAACUAAUUAACUAAAGCUAUUGUCUGUCUGAAACUAACAAACUAUUUGUAUGUUAAACUAAUUAACUAAUUAACUGCUUAACUAAAUAACUAAUUAAUUAGCUGACUAAUUAACAAACUAUUUGCAUGUUAAACUAUAUGCAGUACGCAUUACCUAUUUAAAGUAUCGGCUCUUUAUAGGUAUUUUACUUUCAAACAUUUAAUUUAUGAUAAAAAUAUCAAUGUUUGUAAGUAAAAUUCAAAAAGUGUUACAAAAAAUAUCAAUAUUCUUACUUUCAAACAUUUAAUUUAUGGCCCUAUGCCCCUCUCUUUUUGUAAGAAUAUUACUGUAACACUUUUGAAUUUUACUUACAAACAUUGAUGUUUGUAUCAUAAAUUAAAUGUUUGACAGUAAAAUACCCAUAAAGAGCCGAUACUUUAAAUAGGUAAUGCGUACUGCAUAUAGUUUAACAUGCAAAUAGUCUGUUAAUUAGUUAGUUAGUUAAUUAGUUGAUUAGUUAAGCAGUUAAUUAGUUAAUUAGUUUCACAUGCAAAUAGUUUGUUAGUUUCAGACAGACAACAGUUUUAGUUAAUUAGUUAAGCAGUUAAUUAGAUAAAUAGAAAUUAGUUAAUUAAUUGAUUAGAUAAUUACUUAAUUAGAUAAUUAGUUAAUUAGUUAAUAAUUAAUCAGAUAAUUAGUUAAUAGUUAAUUAGUUUAACUAUUAACAAAUUAGAUAAUUAGUUAAGCAAUUGUCAAGCAAGAAGAGGGCAAAAUUGGAAGAAAUUUCUUAUCUCACUUCUACAAAAGUUGUCAGGGAGGUUUCUGCAACGAAUUGUUACUGUUCAGGGGAGGUGAAUGCAAUUUCAAAACCUAGAGGGGAGGUCAGUGCAAAUGUCAGAAAUCUCAGGGGAGGUUUCUGCAAUUAUCCCUUACUACUUUUGAGAGCCAAUACUAAUUACUGCUAGCUCUUUUCAAUUGCCAGCAUCAUUGCCUCUAGUAUCGCUAAAGCAUCAGCAGUUUUGGCCUCACGCAUUCUUCGACUGGUAGUGCCCAAGUGACUUUGAGGAUUCCCAAUCCAUCUCUCAAUCUAAUUCACAAACCAACUAUACUUUUGAUGCUGUCUGUGUUUUUAACAGUCAAAAUCUUUUGCUGGUCACUUAAAGAAUUAGCACAAGCUGCUUGUACAUUGCUAGGAUUGCUUCUUCUGUGGUUCUCCCUUGCCUGUUUACCUUUAGGAAUCCCCCCCCUCCCCACCCAAUCUUCUGUGGCUUUCCUGGAAAUCCAGAAUCUAGUUUGCUCAUUAUCAUUGAAGCAACUUUCGUUCCUACCGUUGUGUGUUGGCCACAGCAGAUUCAGAGUCAAUGCAAUAUGCCUCCUUCCUUUUAUUCCUUUUGACUACUUCCUAAAGUUGGAUCCACCGUACUUGGAAGUUCCAUGCAUGACUGCUAAUCCAUCCCAUUGUACAAAGACUGCAUUCCUUGCAUCUUGAACAGAAAUGCAGGAGAAGAACAUGUGUUCUAUUGUUUCAAUGUCCUCACCAGUCACCACACUUCUUGCAUAUAGAAUUGCCUUUAACCAUUCUUUUUUGCUUUUUUGCAGAACUUCAUUUGCGGGGAAUAUAUGGUUCAGACACUUCCAUAUGAAAUGUUUGAUUUUGUGUUGAUAUCAAGUCCCCAUAUAUUUUUCCACAAUCCUGCCAUUAAACUAUUACUGCUAGGCUUACUCCCAUCAGUCUUGUCAUUAUCCUCCAUCUGAUUCUUUGACUUUUCCUGGGAAUACCCAGAGAUCACCAUUUAAACCCCUGUAGAGUUGUGAACCUAUCUUAAUCUUAUCCUUGCCACUAAAAAGAUUUGAGGGGGUAACUCAAAAUUGAUCUGCAAUCCUCUAGAGAGAAUAAAGAUUGAAUUAAUUUUUUAUUCCAUUCUUCAGCCAAACAAUCAAUUGAUUCACUGUGUUUAUUUCACAGAGACUUGGCUUUGCAACUGAUAACUUCCCAGUUUUGGUUUGUGGUAUCAAUCUAUCUUCCCAAAUUUUGAUACUUCUCCCAUCACCUAUAAUUCUCCAUGUCCCUUCUUCUAUCAAUUUGAUAGCACUUUAUAUGUUCUACCAUAUCCGUGAUACUCUUAGGAAUGCAUUAGGCCUUCAGAAUUGAGGUUGUGGGAAAGUACUCUUUCAUUAUUUUGCUAACCAACAACUUUGGAGUAGUGAGAACUCUCCAUUACUUGUUUGGCUAGCAAAAUAGAAUUAAAUUGUUGCAAGUCCCUGAAUCCCAAUCAUCCUUUGCCUUUGACUUCUGUGAUUUUCUUCAAUUGAUCCAAUGAAUCUUCUUGUCACCCUAAUCACUGCCCUACUAAAGCUUGGCCAUAUAUAAGCACAGGUCUUUACAAAUACCUUUUGACAUCUUGAACACUGACAUAGCAUUAUUCAGCAUGAUCAUCGCAACUGAUUUCAACAACACUUCUUUCCCAUCUCGGCCUAGCAUCUUCCCUUUCCAUUCGAGCAGUUUUCCUUUAAUGUAUCCCAAAACCUGAUUCUUUGAUCUUCCAAUCACCAAUGGUUGUCCUAGAUAUUUUCCUUGAUGCACUCUUUGAAUUCCUCCCAAUUGUUGUAGCAGCUCAUAAGCUUGGCUGUUCUUUGUAUUCUGGCUGAAAACAAAAGUUGAUUUCUUAUCCUGAUGCUUUUUCAAGUAGUUGAGAAUUCUCCUAAUCUCCCUUGCAUCCUUUUUUGAAGCUUUGCAAGAGACUAAGGAAUCAUUAGUGAAGAAUAAGUGGGACAGUUUUUGUCCUUUCCUUGAAAUUAUGAGCCCUGUUAUUUUCUUUCGUUCACUUGCAUGCUUGAACAAACUAGUAAAUCCCUCAGUACAAAUGAGAAAUAGAUAUGGGGAGAGGAUCCCUUGCCUGAUUCCUCUUGAAGGCACAAGAGAUCAAAGUGGCAGAGAGAAAGGAAAGGAAUGUGUGAUUCCUCUUUAAGGGAGAGGACACAACCAAGUUUAUCACUAUCAAUAUUAAAGGAAUAAGACACAGAAUUCGGGCAAUUCAUAAUCCAUAAAAUCCAAACAAAGUCCCGCCUUUUUUUUGGAUAAAAAGAAAUUAAUAGUUUUCAAAAAAAAAAAAAAGGAAUGGAUAUCGACUUUAAAAAUUAAAACAGGACUUAAAAUUGUGACUAUUUCGGCCUAAAAGACAUUCUAAAAAAAAUUUUUUGAAAAAAAAAAAGGUAAAUUGCUACUUGAUAUUGGUUUUAUGUAUCAAGCCACCAAAAGGUUUCUGAAAAAAAAUGAGAAAAACUUUUUUAAAUGGCUAGAUCUUUAAAAAUAAGAGAAAAAUGUUGGGGAGUCAUAGUUGGUGAAAGAGAAAACAAAGAUUUGAUUGGCUCGAAACUAAAGGUGCGUUUGAUAAAACUGAAUUUGAAAUCUAAAAUCUUAAGUUUAAAUAUAUUAAAUUAUUGAAUUGUUAAGUAUUAAAUCUAAUACAUGGAGUACAUAUCAUAUCCAGUGAUAAGGGAAUAGCUUAUCACCUAAUUUUAGAAACAAGUUUUGUUUAGAAAAUUUAGUGCCACUUAAUUAAUUCAGAUGUUCAAUUUUUUAUUAUCAAAUAAUCUAAAUAUAUUAAAAUCUAAUUCCAUUAAAUUUAAGUGCUGAAUUGGGUUAUCAAACAGGUCCUAAGACAUAUUUUCAACAUAAUCUAAAUUAGUUGCAAGAUUUAAUCAAAAUUUUCUAAUAUAACUCUCCAACCUAUCACAUUUGGACGUUUUCUGUAUGAAUGCAAAACCUUAAACUUCGGGGAUAUCGAAAGGGAUAAAAUUUUCAUCUAAGAUCUAAUUGCUACCAAUGCAUGAAUUGGGAAGCCCAAAAUAAUCCUUUGAAGGUAUUGUGAGUAAUGCAAAAUAAGACUUGAAGAAAAGAAUUAUUAGAACUUCCAAGUUUAGGUACAAGUGGAUAAGGAAAGGGGAAUACAACAAAUAAUAAUUAUUCAUACUCAACUUACCAUAAUAACUUUAAGUCCAAGGAUCACUUACAUAAAAUGUAAUUUAGAGAUUAAUUCUUUUGGCAUAAAAGAAAUCUUUAUGUGAAUUAAUCUAGUAAAUUUGACCAUACUGUCAAAUACCCAGAUACUAGUUUAGAUGUUUCGCAGCAUAGUAGAUGAGGUCAACUACUUUCCUAAUAGAAGUAACAUAGUAUAUACUAGUCUAACCAUAUUAACAAUGUCCAAUUCUUGUUAAUGCUUAAACUAGAGAUAUUCAAGAAUAAAUUUUACACUUAAUCAAAUGAACCUCACCAUCAUAACACUUGUGAUUUCAUUGACUAAGUUUAUUCUAGGACUUUAUCAUACAAGUAUAAACAUACAUGUAAUCAGUAUGAUAAAGAUGUCAUUUAUUAAUGCAUAAAUAGUUUAAGUACAUAUAAAAUCUCUAAAAGUGAUUAUCAUUAGGGCGUACAUACUUUCAUUUUCUUAUAAGGAUGUGUUUCCUCAUAUUUCAUCCUUAAGUUUCUCACUAAGUUUUGACAAUUCUUUUGCAGAGAUGUUUUCAUAAUGAUUUUUUCAGGGUUUAUGUUGCAUGCAAUUUUUAGUUGCGAGUGGACUCAAAACCCGAUACUCCCAACACAAGUCUCAAAUCCUUACCAAUUGAGUCACGUGAAUAUAUGAAUAUUAUUUAUGAAUAUUAUCUUAAUAAUCAAAGUUCAUUUAAAACUUUCUCACUCAUCACUAAAAAAUGUGGAUGCCUCCCCAUUUUAGUCUUUCAGGUGUCAUUAGCAAGAUAGAUAUGUCCAAUGUAAAUAUUUCUAACCAUUCAAUGCCUAUCUCACAACUAGGGAAAAUUGCUAAAAUAUAGGAUAAGCAUAGGAUGUCAAUGUUACCUUGGCUAGAUAAUUAGGUAGUUAGAAUAAAAUCAAAGUUUAGGAGAUUCUAUAACUUUCAAAUUUAUAGCAUCUGCAAUCUUGGUAUUUUCCAUUAGAGGAUAUUUUGAUUGUAGUUCUAUAUUCUAGGAUUUUCCACAUAUAUAGGUAUGCAUAUUUUUUUUUUAAAUUUUUUUUCUGAUUACAAUUAUGUAGGGGUAAAAUUUUCCUUCAAGACUGAUUUGAUGAUAUCGCAUUAUAUCCAUAGCAUAUUUAAUUAAAUAAAAAAUGGAUAUUGAGGAGGUGAUUUUUGGUUGGUAACUAGACCGACCUGGAUCAGUCCUCUCUGGGAUGAAGUGAGGUGAACUCCUGUGUCCGAAGUGAACCUCCUCGUCCGAAGUGAGUGGCGGGGCUUCUCCCCUGGUAUCACUCCGACGAUCAAGUUAGUAUGAGAACGAGAAUAAUGAGAAUGAGUUAAUGAACAGUGUGCUUACUUGGUGGGAGUAUGAGUGAGGUAUUUAUAGGAGAGUAGAGGACAGAGCGGAGGGCUUACGCUGGUGGGACCCACCCUCUGGUCAUUACGGCUCUGUCCCGUGUCAGGAGGUCUGACUCUGACACUGUAGCUGUCUUGGGUAUGAUGACGGGGAGUAUUGUGUAGGUGCCAUUAAGUGCCUCCAGUGCUUUUCAGGUAAAGCACUGGUCCUGGGUGAUGUCAGAUGGUUCGACAUCAUCAGCGUGCAGCUGAGGCGGGGGUGCCGAGGUCGGCUACACAGUAUGCUAUGGAAACGGCCGAGGCCGAGCUCAGGGAUGAUGUCCGGGACACGGAUGAGCUCCGAUGAGGGACGAGGUGAGUCCACCUCGGCCACUCGGGAUGGCCGAGGUGAGCAUCCUCAAUAAGCCCCCCAAGCCUCGGAUGCUCCGAGCAAGGGAGGUGCCGAGGCUUCCUAGUGCUGAAGUCAUGAAGAGUCGAGGCUCCGAAACCGCUCCGGAAGAUGCGGGGACUCGACACGUGGACGAGUCAGUUGAUA
This 41071-nucleotide long non-coding RNA is filed under the name Coffea arabica (coffee). RNAcentral's name for it is "long non-coding RNA (CARA_LNC005907)". Lineage: Eukaryota; Viridiplantae; Streptophyta; Magnoliopsida; Gentianales; Rubiaceae. The record is from RNAcentral.